This 899-nucleotide ribosomal RNA is filed under the name Wardomyces inflatus. Its description in RNAcentral is "LSU rRNA". It matches the Rfam family "Eukaryotic large subunit ribosomal RNA", at positions 38 to 960 of the family's 3401-position model. Lineage: Eukaryota; Fungi; Ascomycota; Sordariomycetes; Microascales; Microascaceae. The record is from RNAcentral.
GCAUAUCAAUAAGCGGAGGAAAAGAAACCAACAGGGAUUACCUCAGUAACGGCGAAGUGAAGCGGUAACAGCUCAAAUUUUGAAAUCUGGUCCCCUCUGGGGGCCCGAGUUGUAAUUUGAAGAAGGAUGCUUUUGGCGAGGCGCCUUCCGAGUGCCCUGGAACGGGACGCCACAGAGGGUGAGAGCCCCGUAUGGUAGGACGCCGAGCCUCUGUAAAGCUCCUUCGACGAGUCGAGUAGUUUGGGAAUGCUGCUCAAAAUGGGAGGUAAACCCCUUCUAAAGCUAAAUAUUGGCCAGAGACCGAUAGCGCACAAGUAGAGUGAUCGAAAGAUGAAAAGCACUUUGAAAAGAGAGUUAAACAGCACGUGAAAUUGUUGAAAGGGAAGCGCUUGCGACCAGACUUGCGCCCGUCGGAUCAACCGUCCCUCGUGGGCGGCGCACUCCGGCGGGCUCAGGCCAGCAUCAGUUUUCCUGGGGGGAGAAAGGCGGUGGGAAUGUAGCUCUUCGGAGUGUUAUAGCCCGCCGCGUAAUACCCCCGGGGGGACUGAGGACCGCGCGAAAGCAAGGAUGCUGGCGUAAUGGUCGUCAGCGACCCGUCUUGAAACACGGACCAAGGAGUCGUCCUAAUAUGCGAGUGUACGGGUGUAAAACCCCUGCGCGUAAUGAAAGUGAACGGAGGUGAGAGCUUCGGCGCAUCAUCGACCGAUCCUGAUGUUCUCGGAUGGAUUUGAGUAAGAGCAUAUUGGGCCGGACCCGAAAGAAGGUGAACUAUGCCUGUAUAGGGUGAAGCCAGAGGAAACUCUGGUGGAGGCUCGCAGCGGUUCUGACGUGCAAAUCGAUCGUCAAAUAUGGGCAUGGGGGGCGAAAGACUAAUCGAACCUUCUAGUAGCUGGUUCCGC